RNAcentral lists this ribosomal RNA (643 nucleotides) under uncultured bacterium. RNAcentral describes it as "bacterial SSU rRNA". It matches the Rfam family "Bacterial small subunit ribosomal RNA", at positions 232 to 885 of the family's 1533-position model. The record is from RNAcentral.
CGCGGCCUAUCAGCUUGUUGGUGAGGUAACGGCUCACCAAGGCGAUGACGGGUAGCUGGAGUGAGAGCUCGAUCAGCCACACUGGGACUGAGACACGGCCCAGACUCCUACGGGAGGCAGCAGUGGAGAAUCUUGCGCAAUGGGCGAAAGUCUGACGCAGCGACGCCGCGUGGGGGAAGAAGGCCUUCGGGUUGUAAACCCCUUUCAGGAGGGACGAAGCGAGAGUGACGGUACCUCCAGAAGAAGCCCCGGCCAACUACGUGCCAGCAGCCGCGGUAAUACGUAGGGGGCAAGCGUUGUCCGGAAUUAUUGGGCGUAAAGGGCUCGUAGGCGGCCCGGUAAGUCGGCAGUGAAAUCCCAGGGCUCAACCCUGGAACUGCUGUCGAUACUGUCGGGCUUGAGGAAGGUAGAGGAGAGUGGAAUUCCCGGUGUAGCGGUGGAAUGCGCAGAUAUCGGGAGGAACACCGAUAGCGAAGGCAGCUCUCCGGGCCUUACCUGACGCUGAGGAGCGAAAGCGUGGGUAGCAAACAGGAUUAGAUACCCUGGUAGUCCACGCCGUAAACGUUGGGUGCUAGGUGUGGGGUCCUAUCCACGGAUCCCGUGCCGUAGCCAACGCGUUAAGCACCCCGCCUGGGGAGUACGG